This 77-nucleotide transfer RNA is filed under the name Nitzschia dubiiformis. RNAcentral describes it as "tRNA-Asp". It matches the Rfam family "tRNA". Rfam says of the family: Transfer RNA (tRNA) molecules are approximately 80 nucleotides in length. Their secondary structure includes four short double-helical elements and three loops (D, anti-codon, and T loops). Lineage: Eukaryota; Bacillariophyta; Bacillariophyceae; Bacillariales; Bacillariaceae. The record is from RNAcentral.
UGGGAUUGUAGCUCAAUUGGUUAGAGUACCGCCCUGUCACGGCGGAAGUUGCGAGUUCGAGUCUCGUCAGUCCCGAC